CCUACGGGUGACAGCAGUGGGGAAUAUUGCACAAUGGGGGAAACCCUGAUGCAGCGACGCCGCGUGAGUGAAGCAGUAUUUCGGUAUGUAAAGCUCUAUCAGCAGGGAAGAAGAAAGACGGUACCUGACUAAGAAGCCCCGGCUAACUACGGUCCAGCAGCCGCGGGAAUAUGUAGGGGGCAAGCAUUAUCCGGCUUUACUGGGGGGAAAGGGCGCGUAGACGGCUGUGCAAGUCUGAAGUGAAAGCCCAGGGCUCAACCCUGGGACUGCGUUGGAAAAUGUGGAGCUAGAGUGCUGGAGAGGUAAGUGGAAUUCCGAGUGGAGCGGUGAAAUGCGUAGAUAUUAGGAGGAACACCAGUGGCGAAGGCGGCUUACUGGACAGUAACUGACGUUGAGGCUCGAAAGCGUGGGGAGCAAACAGGAUUAGAUACCCUUGUAGUC
RNAcentral lists this ribosomal RNA (441 nucleotides) under uncultured bacterium. RNAcentral's name for it is "partial 16S ribosomal RNA". It matches the Rfam family "Bacterial small subunit ribosomal RNA", at positions 338 to 795 of the family's 1533-position model. The record is from RNAcentral.